Molecule: ribosomal RNA, 396 nt
Filed under: uncultured bacterium
Lineage: Bacteria
Description: partial 16S ribosomal RNA
Rfam family: Bacterial small subunit ribosomal RNA
Source: RNAcentral
AUACGUAGGGGGCAAGCGUUAUCCGGAUUUACUGGGUGUAAAGGGCGUGUAGGCGGAGAUGCAAGUCAGGAGUGAAAUCUAGGGGCUCAACCCCUAAACUGCUUUUGAAACUGUAUCCCUUGAGUAUCGGAGAGGCAGGCGGAAUUCCUAGUGUAGGGGUGAAAUGCGUAGAUAUUAGGAGGAACACCAGUGGCGAAGGCGGCCUGCUGGACGACAACUGACGCUGAGGCGCGAAAGUGUGGGGAGCAAACAGGAUGAGAUACCCUGGUAGUCCACACUGUAAACGAUGAAUGCUAGGUGUAAGAGGUAUCGACCCCUUUGUGCCGGAGUUAACACAAUAAGCAUUCCGCCUGGGGAGUACGGCCGCAAGGUUGAAACUCAAAGGAAUUGACGGGG